AGAUUCUUUUCUCUUUCUUAAAGUUCUAAUUUCCACUUUCUUUCCCUCACUACAGGGGCCAAUCCUGUUACCUUCUUCAUCUCACCUUUCUCAUCAGCUACACCAAUAACUGCUGAUCUGUUGCCAUCAACAGGCAAGAGCUCUGGGAGUAGCAGCACAUCACUGACUACCAGUCUAAAUUGAGCCUAGUCUUUGCAGCUUCCAUCUGAAGAAGCAACCCCUGUGGAGAAGGGGCCAGCCAUCCCCACCACUGCUACACACAGCUCAGUCAAACCAGCAACCCUGAGGGAGAGAUAGGAGGCAGGGCAGUCAGACUUGCCAGAUUUACUAAAUUGAUGAGAAGCAUCUUGGCAUAAUGAAUAGAGAACUGCCCUCAGAGUCAGGAACAUCUGGAUUCCAAGAUCUGCCUCUUGAUGCAUGUUUCUGGGGUAACUGGCAUGCCAUUGUCAAAAAUGGAUCCCCUGUGGCAAACGUAUGUGAGGACAUGAACAAGAGUCAUACCAACACAAAUGGCUCCAUGUGUGCAUCACUGGAGUGAAUACUCAAAUUAUGAGGUCACAGAAGCUUGCGAAUAUUCAAGAAUAAGAUUGCAUGAGAUUUUUGCUGCCAG
Molecule: long non-coding RNA, 610 nt
Filed under: Monodelphis domestica (gray short-tailed opossum)
Lineage: Eukaryota; Metazoa; Chordata; Mammalia; Didelphimorphia; Didelphidae
Description: lncRNA (ENSMODG00000030673.2)
Source: RNAcentral